This 581-nucleotide ribosomal RNA is filed under the name uncultured bacterium. RNAcentral describes it as "bacterial SSU rRNA". It matches the Rfam family "Bacterial small subunit ribosomal RNA", at positions 102 to 679 of the family's 1533-position model. The record is from RNAcentral.
ACGGGUGAGUAAUGUCUGGGGAUCUGCCCGAUAGAGGGGGAUAACCACUGGAAACGGUGGCUAAUACCGCAUAACGUCGCAAGACCAAAGAGGGGGACCUUCGGGCCUCUCACUAUCGGAUGAACCCAGAUGGGAUUAGCUAGUAGGCGGGGUAAUGGCCCACCUAGGCGACGAUCCCUAGCUGGUCUGAGAGGAUGACCAGCCACACUGGAACUGAGACACGGUCCAGACUCCUACGGGAGGCAGCAGUGGGGAAUAUUGCACAAUGGGCGCAAGCCUGAUGCAGCCAUGCCGCGUGUAUGAAGAAGGCCUUCGGGUUGUAAAGUACUUUCAGCGGGGAGGAAGGCGAUGUGGUUAAUAACCGCAUUGAUUGACGUUACCCGCAGAAGAAGCACCGGCUAACUCCGUGCCAGCAGCCGCGGUAAUACGGAGGGUGCAAGCGUUAAUCGGAAUUACUGGGCGUAAAGCGCACGCAGGCGGUCUGUUAAGUCAGAUGUGAAAUCCCCGGGCUUAACCUGGGAACUGCAUUUGAAACUGGCAGGCUUGAGUCUCGUAGAGGGGGGUAGAAUUCCAGGUGUAGC